AUAUAAGUUACAAAGGGCUUAUGGUGGAUGCCUUGGGACUGAUAACGAUGAAGGUCGUGCCAAUCUGCGAUAAGUUACGGCUAGCCGAUAAGGGGCUAUUACCCGUAAAUGACCGAAUGAGGAAACUCAUCUAAUAGAGAUAUUAGAUAUCAUUAACUGAAUUCAUAGGUUAAUGAAGUGAUACCUGGUGAAGUGAAACAUCUCAGUAGCCAGAGGAAAAGAAAACAAAGUGAUUCUGUAAGUAGCGGCGAGCGAAAGCGGAACAGGCCAAACCAUCUUUAGAGGUGGGGUUAUAGCACUGCAAUGUGGACUUAGAUAAGAUAGCAGAAGUAGUUGGGAAGCUACACAAUAUAGGGUGAUAGUCCCGUAUGCGAAAUCUUAUCUAUACCUAGCAGGAUGCUGAGUAAGUCGAAACACGCGAAAUUUUGACCGAAGUCAGCGCGACCAUGCGCUAAGCCUAAAUAUAAAUCAGUCACCGAUAGCGAAUAGUACCGUGAGGGAAAGGUGAAAAGAACCCAGUGAUGGGAGUGAAAUAGACUCUGAAACCAUUAGCCUACAACGAGUUAGAGCUCAUUUAUGAGUGAUAGCGUGCGUUUUGAAGUAUGAGCCGGCGAGUUAUUGUUGCAUGCAAAGUUAAGUCGUAGAGACGUAGCUGUAGGGAAACCGAGUCUGAAUAGGGCGAAUUAGUAUGUAGCAAUAGACCCGAAACGGGAUGAUCUAGUUAUGAGCAGGUUGAAGGUUGAGUAACAUCAACUGGAGGACCGAACCCACUUUCGUUGAAACGACAGGGGAUGACUUGUGACUAGGGGUGAAAUUCCAAUCGAAUUCCGUGAUAGCUGGUUCUCGUCGAUAUAAUUUUAGGAUUAGCGUUAGAUUAUUGAAGUUGUGGAGGUAAAGCUCUGACUGACUGAUGGCGCCACCUCGGCGUACUGAUUUCAAUUAAACUCUGAAUGCCAUAACUUCUAUUCUAGCAGUCAGACUGUGGGGGAUAAGCUUCAUAGUCGUGAGGGUAAGAGCCCAGAUCAUUAGCUAAGGUCCCUAAAUUACACUAAGUGGAAAAGGAUGUUGGAGAUCUUAAACACCAAGGAUGUUGGCUUAGAAGCAGCCAUCGUUUAAAGAGUGCGUAACAGCUCACUUGUCGAGAUCUCCUGCGCCGAAGAUUCAACGGGGCUAAAGUGUAAUACCGAAGCUAUGGAAUAAUAGCAAUAUUAUUGGUAGACGAGCGUUGUAUACCGGGAUGAAGGUAGAGUGUGAACACUACUGGACUGUAUACAAGUGAGAAUGCCGGCGUGAGUAACGUAUGAAAGUGAGAAUCUUUCAAGCCGAAUUGACUAAGGUUUCCAGGACGAGGGUCGUCCUUCCUGGGUUAGUCGGAACCUAAGAUGAGGCCGCAAGGCGUAGUCGAUGGUAAGCAAGUUAAUAUUCUUGCACUUAGUAUAUGAAUGAUGGAGUAACGGAGAAGGUUAAUGCAGGCCAGUAAUUGGAUUUUAUUGGUUUAAGUAUUAAGUCUGGCAAGUUGGCAAACCCGCUUGCUAUUCAAAGGAUAAGAUACGAACAGUAAUGAAAACUUCGGUAAGUAAAUAAGCUGUAUACAUCACGCUUCCAAGAAAAACUUCUAAGUAUAUCAUAUAUUAAUCCGUACUGAGAACGAACACACGUGGUCAAGGAGAAUAUCCUAAGGCUAGCGAGUUAACUAUUGUUAAGGAACUCUGCAAAUUAGCCCCGUAAGUUAGCGAUAAGGGGUACUGUUAGUAAUAACAGUCACAGUAAAGAGCGAGGGGGAACUGUUUAUCAAAAACACAGCUUUAUGCUAAGUCGUAAGACGAUGUAUAUGAGGUGACGCCUGCCCAGUGCUGGAAGGUUAAGGAAGUGGGUUAGUCGCAAGACAAAGCUCGUAACCGAAGCCCCAGUGAACGGCGGCCGUAACUAUAACGGUCCUAAGGUAGCGAAAUUCCUUGUCGGGCAAAUUCCGUCCCGCUUGAAUGGCGUAAUCAUCUCUUGACUGUCUCGACAAUAGACUCGGUGAAAUCCUGGUGUGGGUGCAGACGCCCACUUGGCGUGAUUGGACGGAAAGACCCCAUGAAGCUUUACUGUAACUUAAUAUUGAAACAAUAACUUGUAUUUAGAGCAUAGGUGGGAGACUUUGAACCAGUGUCGCUAGAUACUGCGGAGUCACUCUUGUAAUACCACCAUUAUGAUUUAUUUUUUCUAACUUCCAUCUGUAAUCCAGAUAAAGGACAGUGUUAGGCGGGCAGUUUGACUGGGGCGGUCGCCUCCCAAAAGGUAACGGAGGCGCGCAACGGUACACUCAGCACGGUUGGAAAUCGUGUGACGAGCGUAAUGGUAUAAGUGUGCUUGACUGCGAGAAUUACACUUCGAGCAGGUAAGAAAUUAGGUCAUAGUGAUCCGGUGGUUCAGAAUGGAAUGGCCAUCGCUCAACGGAUAAAAGCUACUCUGGGGAUAACAGGCUGAUACUGACCAAGAGUUCAUAUCGACGUCAGUGUUUGGCACCUCGAUGUCGACUCAUCUCAUCCUGGGGCUGUAGUAGGUCCCAAGGGUUCGGCUGUUCGCCGAUUAAAGAGAUACGUGAGUUGGGUUCAAACCGUCGUGAGACAGGUUGGUCCCUAUCUGUCAUGCCCGUAGGAAGAUUGAGAAGAGCUGCUCCUAGUACGAGAGGAUCGGAGUGGAGAUACCUCUAAUGUUUCAGUUGUUUUGCCAAAAGCACAGCUGGGUAGUUACGUAUCGAAUGGAUAAGCGCUGAAAGCAUAUAAGCGUGAAGCCACCUUCAAGAUUAUUCUUCCCCGCCUUCGCAAGAAGGCAUAAGAAUCGUUGUAGAUGACAACGUUGAUAGGAUACAUGUGCAAGUACCGCGAGGUAUUUAGCUGAGUAUUACUAAUAAUUCGAACGACUUAUAAGU
RNAcentral lists this ribosomal RNA (2917 nucleotides) under Mycoplasmataceae bacterium. RNAcentral describes it as "23S ribosomal RNA". It matches the Rfam family "Bacterial large subunit ribosomal RNA". The record is from RNAcentral. Lineage: Bacteria; Bacillati; Mycoplasmatota; Mollicutes; Mycoplasmatales; Mycoplasmataceae.